This 230-nucleotide long non-coding RNA is filed under the name Homo sapiens (human). RNAcentral's name for it is "non-protein coding lnc-CKS1B-3:2". The record is from RNAcentral. Lineage: Eukaryota; Metazoa; Chordata; Mammalia; Primates; Hominidae.
AUUCCAGAUGAGCAAGCAUUGAUGGCCAGCCUGUUUGACCCAUGGGCAAUGGACCUUCCAAAGGGAGCUAUCUAGCACUUUCCUCUCCACAGCAUGUGGCUUCAGGUGUCUGCCUAUCCUGCUCUAGCCAGAUGACCUGUCCCUUUGAUUUUGAACAGAGUCUCAGUGAUGACCUCAAUGGAUGACCCUCCCCUCUGCUGAAUGCCUCCCCUGGGGCUGAGCGAAGGUAA